GACGAACGCUGGCGGCGUGCUUAACACAUGCAAGUCGAACGGAAAGGCCCUGCUUUUGUGGGGUGCUCGAGGGGCGAACGGGUGAGUAACACGUGAGUAACCUGCCCUUGACUUUGGGAUAACUUCAGGAAACUGGGGCUAAUACCGGAUAGGAGCUCCUGCUGCAGGGUGGGGGUUGGAAAGUUUCGGCGGUUGGGGUUGGACUCGCGGUUUAUCAGCUUGUUGGUGGGGGAGUGGCUUACCAAGGAUUUGGCGGGUAGCCGGCCUGGGAGGGUGACCGGCACCAUGGGACUGGGGGAGGGGCCAGACUCCUACGGGAGGCAGCAGUGGGGAAUAUUGCACAAUGGGCGGAAGCCUGAUGCAGCAACGCCGCGUGCGGGAUGACGGCCUUCGGGUUGUAAACCGCUUUCGCCUGUGACGAAGCGUGAGUGACGGUAAUGGGUAAAGAAGCACCGGCUAACUACGUG
Molecule: ribosomal RNA, 467 nt
Filed under: uncultured bacterium
Lineage: Bacteria
Description: partial 16S ribosomal RNA
Rfam family: Bacterial small subunit ribosomal RNA
Source: RNAcentral